Molecule: non-coding RNA, 641 nt
Organism: Macaca mulatta (Rhesus monkey)
Lineage: Eukaryota; Metazoa; Chordata; Mammalia; Primates; Cercopithecidae
Source: RefSeq, a predicted model, not a curated record
GCUCUGACGCGAUUCUAACGCGACUCCGGAAGCGCGCGGCGAGCCGUGGGUGGGUGCAGGUGGCGGUCCCGGAGGCGGCCCCGUGAGGGCUGAGCUGCCGCUCCCUGGAACCGAGCGGGGUGGGCUCGGUCCCACGCGUACCAUGGCCGAGUGCGUAGGCCUGUCUCUGAGCGCGGGCCUAGCGUGGAUGGGAUGGGCGCUACACAGCUCCAAGUUACGCGAUUCAAACUCUUGGAAUAAACCCAGGGCAGCCCUGGGGCUGUGUUGAUUCCCUGUCUCGCUCCCUCCCAGCAUUUACAGAAAAGACGCAUUUAUAGGAAAGACGUACGGGCAGGUCCAGCAGAGCCCUUACAAGCAUUUCAGCCUUUUAGAAAUCAGGUUUAUUGCACGUCUGACAUGGAUGGACCCAGCUAGAUAUCUUGCCAACGGCUCCUGUGGCCCCACUCAGAAGCCAUGCAGCACAAAAGGACCAAAAGGACAGCUAGAUUUCAUCAAUCUUUCACCAACCAAUCAGCACUCCCCAUACCUUAGCCCCCUGCUCACCAAACUAUCUUUGAAAAACCCCUAACCUGUGAGCCUUCAGUUGUAACCAAGCAGCUUAGCAGCUGUGAAUCCAAAAUAUCUGAGACAGGUCUCCAUCA